Molecule: ribosomal RNA, 879 nt
Filed under: Natara lutea
Lineage: Eukaryota; Fungi; Ascomycota; Leotiomycetes; Helotiales
Description: eukaryotic LSU rRNA
Rfam family: Eukaryotic large subunit ribosomal RNA
Source: RNAcentral
GGAAUACCUCAGUAACGGCGAGUGAAGCGGUAACAGCUCAAAUUUGAAAUCUGGCUCUUUCAGGGUCCGAGUUGUAAUUUGUAGAAGAUGCUUUGGGCAUUGCUCCGGUCUAAGUUCCUUGGAACAGGACGUCAUAGAGGGUGAGAAUCCCGUAUGUGACUGGUGGCAUUUGUCCGUGUAAAGCUCUUUCGACGAGUCGAGUUGUUUGGGAAUGCAGCUCAAAAUGGGUGGUAUAUUUCAUCUAAAGCUAAAUAUUGGCCAGAGACCGAUAGCGCACAAGUAGAGUGAUCGAAAGAUGAAAAGCACUUUGGAAAGAGAGUUAAACAGUACGUGAAAUUGUUGAAAGGGAAGCGCUUGCAACCAGACUUGCAGGUCGUUGAUCAUCCGGGGUUCUCCCCGGUGCACUCGGCGGCUUUCAGGCCAGCAUCGGUUUGAGUGGUGGGAUAAAGGCCUUGGGAAUGUGGCUCCUCUCGGGGAGUGUUAUAGCCCAAGGUGCAAUGCCGCCUAUUCGGACCGAGGACCGCGCUUCGGCUAGGAUGCUGGCGUAAUGGUUGUAAGCGACCCGUCUUGAAACACGGACCAAGGAGUCUAACAUCUAUGCGAGUGUUUGGGUGUCAAACCCAUACGCGUAAUUAACGUGAACGGAGGUAAGAACCCUUAAGGGUGCAUUAUCGACCGAUCCUGAUGUCUUCGGAUGGAUUUGAGUAAGAGCAUAGCUGUUGGGACCCGAAAGAUGGUGAACUAUGCCUGAAUAGGGUGAAGCCAGAGGAAACUCUGGUGGAGGCUCGCAGCGGUUCUGACGUGCAAAUCGAUCGUCAAAUUUGGGUAUAGGGGCGAAAGACUAAUCGAACCAUCUAGUAGCUGGUUCCUGCCGAAGUU